This 343-nucleotide ribosomal RNA is filed under the name Chrysopelea ornata. RNAcentral describes it as "partial 12S ribosomal RNA". The record is from RNAcentral. Lineage: Eukaryota; Metazoa; Chordata; Lepidosauria; Squamata; Colubridae.
GAUACCCCACGAUUAACCCAACCCCGGCUAGCCUAACAGUCUAUAUACCGCCGUCGCCAGCUCACCUUAUGAAAGAAACAAAGUGAACCAAAUAGCCACACGCUAACACGACAGGUCGAGGUGUAACUAAUGCCGUGGUAAAGAUGGGCUACAUUUUCUAACACAGAAUAUACGAAUAGAGUGUGAAACCACAAACUGAAGGUGGAUUUAGCAGUAAGAUAGGAAUAAAACACCUAACCGAAACAAACGCAAUGAAGUGCGUACACACCGCCCGUCAUCCCUGCCACAACAAUAAACAACAAAAUAUACCAACACAACACAUAAAACAGGGCAAGUCGUAACA